This 433-nucleotide ribosomal RNA is filed under the name uncultured bacterium. Its description in RNAcentral is "partial 16S ribosomal RNA". It matches the Rfam family "Bacterial small subunit ribosomal RNA", at positions 29 to 507 of the family's 1533-position model. The record is from RNAcentral.
AACGAACGCUGGCGGCAGGCUUAACACAUGCAAGUCGAGCGGGCCCUUCGGGGUCAGCGGCCGACGGGUGAGUAACACGUGGUAACGUACCUUUUGGUUCGGAACAACUCCGGGAAACUGGAGCUAAUACCGGAUAAGCCCUUAGGGGGAAAGAUUUAUCGCCACAUGAUCGGCCCGCGUCUGAUUAGCUAGUUGGUGGGGUAACGGCCCACCAAGGCGACGAUCAGUAGCUGGUCGGAGAGGAUGAUCAGCCACACUGGGAAUGAGACACGGCCCAGACUGGGACGGAAGGCAGCAGUGGGGAAUAUUGGACAAGGGGCGCAAGCGUGAUAAAGCCAUGCGGGGUGAGAGAUGAAGGCCGUAGGGUUGUAAAGCUGUUUUGGACGGGAAGAGAAUGACUGUACCGGAAGAAUAAGCCCCGGCUAACUUCGUG